RNAcentral lists this long non-coding RNA (236 nucleotides) under Lathyrus oleraceus (garden pea). Its description in RNAcentral is "Pisum sativum (pea) long non-coding RNA (PSAT_LNC029803)". Lineage: Eukaryota; Viridiplantae; Streptophyta; Magnoliopsida; Fabales; Fabaceae. The record is from RNAcentral.
UUUGGAAAGAGGGCCUAUAAACAGGCAAUUUGUGUACAGGGAGACAAAAAUCCUAGUAAGAGGAGAUUGUCAAGAAAACAAAGAAAAAGCUAUGAAGAAAAAGUCCUAUUGAUUUUAAUUCCACUACUGUCAUUAUGUCUUCAAGCCUCUCAUCUCCUGCUGUCGGAUAAAAGUGAUUGGCUUGUUCAGUCCUUUGAACUUGGAUAAACUGACUGAGAACGGGACAUAGUCGUACG